This is a long non-coding RNA of Panicum virgatum (switchgrass), 1564 nucleotides long. RefSeq lists it as uncharacterized. The transcript is spliced from 4 exons. The record is from RefSeq and is a predicted model, not a curated record. Lineage: Eukaryota; Viridiplantae; Streptophyta; Magnoliopsida; Poales; Poaceae.
CCCAGGGGGGCGCGAUUUUGGGAGGGGCGCCGAUUCGGCGAGCGAACGGCGUCGGUCUGGACUCUGGAGCGGGCGGACGGCUGGGGGGUGCUCUGUCUCUCAUUUAUACCGUAAACCUAAUGGGCCACCGAACUAGCCCACAACCGGCCCAGGCCCAUAAAUCAAACAGCCCACAAAAUAACUCCAAGCCUGAUCGUUUUUCAACCUAAUCGGUCCGACUAAUCGCGACUAAUCGACGACUAGUCGGACGACUAGAAAUUAGUCGCCCACACCUACUCGGAGUCCCUUAUCGAGGUCCCCGGACCGAUAAGCCCGACUAAUCGCGACUAAUCGCGAUUAGUCGGACGACUAGAUAACAUGGUCAUCGAUAUGUUGGCGUCAGAUUUAAAUGCUUAUCGGAAACUACUACCUGCGAAUGUUAAAGAUUAUCUUAGCCGCAUCACAGAUAAAAAUAUAAAAUAGAAUGUAGUGUACAAUUGUUUGAAUAUUUAAUUGUCUUUUGGUGACAAUGGUGAUCCAAUUGCUUUGAUUUAUUUCACCAUACCUUUUGGAGUGACAACGUUAUAUACGAUGAAUGUUGUUAUUUGUUGACAGAUUUAUAUCGUCAAGCGCUUGAUUUUUUCGCUCCCGUAGCAACGCACGGGCAUACAACUAUUGUAGUUCGAAGUCUGGUACCUUGCUAUGACUAAAACUUUACAGUUCCUUGAUAAAGUUUUGUUUGAUCUUUAUUAGAAAACAACUGCUGAAGAGCUGCUUGGCAAAGAACUGCCUCUCAAGUUUGCAGAGGUUGAUGAGGAACAGGACAGGCUUGUCCUCAGCAACCGCAAGGCAAUGGUUGACAGUCAAGCUCAGCUUGGUGGUUCAGUUGUCUUGGGAACUGUUGAGAGCCUAAAACCUUAUGGUGCCUUCACAGAGCGGAAUCAGUGGUCUUCUCCAUGUCAGUCAGAUUAGUGAUGACCAUGUUGCAGAUAUCUCAAUAGUUCUGCAACCAGAAGACACCCUCAAGGUGAUGAUAGUGAGCCUUGAUCGUGAAAGAGGCCUCGUCAGCCUUUCUACAAAAAAGCUUGAGCCAACACCUGGCGACAUGAUCCGCAAUCCCUAGCUUGUUUUUGAGAAGGCUGACGAGAUGGAUCAGAUAUUCAGGCAGAGAAUAUCUCAAGCAGAGGCAAUGGCUCGUGCUGACAUGUUGAGAUUCCAGCCAGAGAGCGGAUUGACACUCAGUUUAGAGGGAAUCCUAGGAUCAUUGUCAUCGGAUUCACCUUCAGAGGAUUCAGGAGAAGAACCCAUGGAUGAAUAGUAGCGGUAGACAGAGCGCAUCAGGUUUGGAAGAUGUGAACGCUGUUUAUCACAUUCAUUUUUCUGAUAUAGGUGUAUUUCUGCAUCAGUAUGAUAGGGUGAUAUCUGAUAUAGAGUUCUCAUAUGGCCCUAACAUUGUACAGCUAGAUAUGCUAAUAUUGCCUGUAACCCAGUCAGUUGACUGAUUUGCCGUAUUCAUUUGCUCCAACCUUGAUCUACAUGAAUAUAAAUUCAAGUUCUGGAGUGUUGAGUUUAAUUUGUACGAAAC